ACUAGAUUCUGUAAGAGGCUUAUAGAGAGUGGAAAUUGGGUACAUCGGUAUGUUUAUCUUAUAACCUGCAGGAGGUGCAUUUAGAAAGAAUUUUUUAAACGGCCGUCGUUGUGGUACACUAGGCUCUCGUUCCUUUCCUGUCGCAGAACUGGGUAAGGGGGAGGUGGACAUGGAAGUAGAAUCGUCGUUCUUAUAUCCCAGGGUACCCG
Cinara cedri is the source of this 209-nucleotide non-coding RNA. The record is from the annotation of a GenBank genome assembly. Lineage: Eukaryota; Metazoa; Arthropoda; Insecta; Hemiptera; Aphididae.